RNAcentral lists this microRNA (24 nucleotides) under Rosa chinensis. RNAcentral's name for it is "sRNA RchiOBHm_Chr2g0099745". The record is from RNAcentral. Lineage: Eukaryota; Viridiplantae; Streptophyta; Magnoliopsida; Rosales; Rosaceae.
CUUAACGAUCAUCAGUUUGGCUGA